Dipodomys ordii (Ord's kangaroo rat) is the source of this 60-nucleotide non-coding RNA. NCBI's taxonomy places the organism in Eukaryota, Metazoa, Chordata, Mammalia, Rodentia, Heteromyidae. The record is from Rfam.
GUGGCUCAGUGGUAGAGUGCUUGCCUUGCAUGCAUGAGACCCUGGGUUCUAUUCCUCAGC